GAUGAAGAACGCAGCGAAAUGCGAUAAGUAAUGUGAAUUGCAGAAUUCAGUGAAUCAUCGAAUCUUUGAACGCACAUUGCGCCCGUCAGUAUUCUGGCGGGCAUGCCUGUUCGAGCGUCAUUACGCCCCUCAAGUCCCCUGUGGACUUGGUGUUGGGGAUCGGCGAGGCUGGUUUUCCAGCACAGCCGUCCCUUAAAUUAAUUGGCGGUCUCGCCGUGGCCCUCCUCUGCGCAGUAGUAAAACACUCGCAACAGGAGCCCGGCGCGGUCCACUGCCGUAAAACCCCCCAACUUUUUAUAGUUGACCUCGAAUCAGGUAGGACUACCCGCUAAACUUAAGCAUAUCAAUAAGCGGAGGA
RNAcentral lists this unclassified non-coding RNA (358 nucleotides) under soil metagenome. RNAcentral's name for it is "partial contains 5.8S ribosomal RNA, internal transcribed spacer 2, and large subunit ribosomal RNA". The stretch from base 1 to 120 matches the Rfam family "5.8S ribosomal RNA", at positions 35 to 154 of the family's 154-position model. The record is from RNAcentral.